Molecule: ribosomal RNA, 429 nt
Filed under: Pseudomonadota bacterium
Lineage: Bacteria; Pseudomonadati; Pseudomonadota
Description: Proteobacteria bacterium partial 16S ribosomal RNA
Rfam family: Bacterial small subunit ribosomal RNA
Source: RNAcentral
UGGGGAAUAUUGGACAAUGGGCGAAAGCCUGAUCCAGCCAUGCCGCGUGUGUGAAGAAGGUCUUCGGAUUGUAAAGCACUUUAAGUUGGGAGGAAGGGCAGUAAGCGAAUACCUUGCUGUUUUGACGUUACCGACAGAAUAAGCACCGGCUAACUCUGUGCCAGCAGCCGCGGUAAUACAGAGGGUGCAAGCGUUAAUCGGAAUUACUGGGCGUAAAGCGCGCGUAGGUGGUUCGUUAAGUUGUAUGUGAAAGCCCCGGUCUCAACCUGGGAACUGCAUCCAAAACUGGCGAGCUAGAGUAGGGCAGAGGGUGGUGGAAUUUCCGGUGUAGCGGUGAAAUGCGUAGAUAUAGGAAGGAACACCAGUGGCGAAGGCGACCACCUGGGCUCAUACUGACACUGAGGUGCGAAAGCGUGGGGAGCAAACAGG